UAGGGAAUCUUCCACAAUGGACGAAAGUCUGAUGGAGCAACGCCGCGUGAGUGAAGAAGGGUUUCGGCUCGUAAAACUCUGUUGUUAAAGAAGAACAUAUCUGAGAGUAACUGUUCAGGUAUUGACGGUAUUUAACCAGGAAGCCACGGCUAACUACGUGUCAG
Molecule: ribosomal RNA, 164 nt
Filed under: uncultured bacterium
Lineage: Bacteria
Description: partial 16S ribosomal RNA
Rfam family: Bacterial small subunit ribosomal RNA
Source: RNAcentral